CCAGGCCAGGUCGCUGCGGGCCGCCGCGGGGCUGGGAAGGGCGUCCUGGGCUUGGGCCCCCGCGAGGUGCGCGUGACAGGGCCCGCAGCCCCCGCCUUACCGUCCCCAUCCCGCGACCCAGCAGGCCUAGAGUCGUUGCAGAAAGGCCUCGGGAGCUCACCCCCUCUUCAGUGCCAGCUCGGGCAUCAGCACGUCUUUCCCGCACGGUGGACAAUUUUGCCCCAGGAUCUUCACCGCCUCCACCAACCAUGGAAAGACAGAGAAGGCCGCCAGGAUGUGCAAGCCAGAGGCAGGCUUGCCCACAGGCCCUGGGCUGGAGGUGGGAGACCGACUGUGGGCGUCAGUAGCUGGACAAGGGCUCGAGCCUGGGCCCCAGCAUGUGCGGCCCCAGAGGUGAGUCCGGGAGGGGGUGACGGCAGGCCCCAGGCCAGUGAGGCAGGUGAAUCCGGAGACCCACCCAGGGGGCUGGGCGGCAGGCCGUAGGGCUCUGCCCCGGGGGUGGCUGGCCCUGCAGGGACAGGGCAGUGGCCCGACUGUAGGGGCUCAGGGGCCUGAGACAGGGGCCCCCGGGGCAGUGCUGCCGCAUGUCCACUGAGGACAGGGAGGCCCGGGGUGAGUGAGCCCGACCAGGAGCCCAGCACAGAGCCGACGAGGCCUCAGCAGGACUCAGGUGAGCCCCAGAGGUCGCACUGGGCUCCUAAGGGCCCCGGCCCGGUGGCCUCAGGACUUGAUGAGAUGACGUCUCCGAUUCCUUCCAUGUCUCCGUCCAAUCAGCGUGGUCAAGAGCACUGAGGACUCGGGAGCCUGGGCGGGUCGUUUGGUUCUGAGUCCGACUUUUGGCUCUGGCUCAGGUCGCGAGCUCAUGGGUGGUGGGACAGAGUCCCAGGCUGGGCUCGGUGCCCGCGGAGAGUCUGCUUGAAGCUUCUCUCCCUCUGCACCUGCCCACUCAUGCCAGUGUGUGCGCGUGCGCUCUCUCACUCUCGCUCACUCUCUAAUAAAUAAAUAAGUCUUUAAAUAAAAAAAAAAAAA
Molecule: long non-coding RNA, 1029 nt
Filed under: Vulpes vulpes (red fox)
Lineage: Eukaryota; Metazoa; Chordata; Mammalia; Carnivora; Canidae
Description: lncRNA (ENSVVUG00000006810.1)
Source: RNAcentral